This 769-nucleotide ribosomal RNA is filed under the name Salmonella enterica. RNAcentral's name for it is "partial 23S ribosomal RNA". It matches the Rfam family "Bacterial large subunit ribosomal RNA", at positions 1 to 702 of the family's 2925-position model. Lineage: Bacteria; Pseudomonadati; Pseudomonadota; Gammaproteobacteria; Enterobacterales; Enterobacteriaceae. The record is from RNAcentral.
GGGUUGUGAGGUUAAGCGACUAAGCGUACACGGUGGAUGCCCUGGCAGUCAGAGGCGAUGAAGGGCGUGCUAAUCUGCGAUAAGCGCCGGUAAGGUGAUAUGAACCGUUAUAACCGGCGAUACCCGAAUGGGGAAACCCAGUGUGAUUCGUCACACUAUCAUUAACUGAAUCCAUAGGUUAAUGAGGCGAACCGGGGGAACUGAAACAUCUAAGUACCCCGAGGAAAAGAAAUCAACCGAGAUUCCCCCAGUAGCGGCGAGCGAACGGGGAGGAGCCCAGAGCCUGAAUCAGCAUGUGUGUUAGUGGAAGCGUCUGGAAAGGCGCGCGAUACAGGGUGACAGCCCCGUACACAAAAGCGCAUGUGCUGUGAGCUCGAUGAGUAGGGCGGGACACGUGGUAUCCUGUCUGAAUAUGGGGGGACCAUCCUCCAAGGCUAAAUACUCCUGACUGACCGAUAGUGAACCAGUACCGUGAGGGAAAGGCGAAAAGAACCCCGGCGAGGGGAGUGAAAAAGAACCUGAAACCGUGUACGUACAAGCAGUGGGAGCCCCACCACUAAGCCAGUGGUGAACUCCACAUACGCAUCCUUUGCUGAGGAUACGGUUAACGGAGCGAAAGCGACGUUCAACCUCAAAAGAAGCAGAGGGGGCUUAGUGGUGGGGUGACUGCGUACCUUUUGUAUAAUGGGUCAGCGACUUAUAUUCUGUAGCAAGGUUAACCGAAUAGGGGAGCCGGAGGGAAACCGAGUCUUAACCGGGCGUUAAGUUG